RNAcentral lists this ribosomal RNA (480 nucleotides) under uncultured anaerobic ammonium-oxidizing bacterium. RNAcentral describes it as "bacterial SSU rRNA". It matches the Rfam family "Bacterial small subunit ribosomal RNA", at positions 363 to 833 of the family's 1533-position model. The record is from RNAcentral.
UUUUCGCAAUGCCCGAAAGGGUGACGAAGCGACGCCGCGUGGGUGAGGAAGGCCUUCGGGUUGUAAAGCCCUGUCAGGAGUUAAGAAAUGUAAGUGCGCUAAUAUCGCAUUUAUUUGACGAAGGCUCCAGAGGAAGUCACGGCUAACUCUGUGCCAGCAGCCGCGGUAAUACAGAGGUGGCAAGCGUUGUUCGGAAUUAUUGGGCGUAAAGAGCACGUAGGUGGGUUUGUAAGUCAGAUGUGAAAGCCUUCUGUUCAACGGAAGAAUUGCAUCUGAAACUGCGAGUCUUGAGUGUAGGAGGGGAGAAUGGAACUUCUGGUGGAGCGGUGAAAUGCGUAGAUAUCAGAAGGAACGCCGGCGGCGAAAGCGAUUCUCUGGCCUAUUACUGACACUCAGUGUGCGAAAGCUAGGGGAGCAAACGGGAUUAGAUACCCCGGUAGUCCUAGCCGUAAACGAUGGGCACUAAGUAGAGGGGUUUUA